AUUGAACGCUGGCGGAAUGCUUUACACAUGCAAGUCGAACGGCAGCACGGACUUCGGUCUGGUGGCGAGUGGCGAACGGGUGAGUAACAUAUCGGAACGUAUCCAAUAAUGGGGGAUAACUGAUCGAAAGGUUGGCUAAUACCGCAUACGCCUACGGGGAAAGCAGGGGAUCUUCGGACCUUGCGUUAAUGGAGCGGCUGAUAUCUGAUUAGCUUGUUGGUGAGGUAAAGGCUCACCAAGGCGACGAUCUGUAGCUGGUCUGAGAGGACGACCAGCCACACUGGGACUGAGACAUGAUCCAAACUCGUGAUGCU
This 314-nucleotide ribosomal RNA is filed under the name uncultured bacterium. RNAcentral's name for it is "bacterial SSU rRNA". It matches the Rfam family "Bacterial small subunit ribosomal RNA", at positions 30 to 350 of the family's 1533-position model. The record is from RNAcentral.